UACAGCGAGUGGUUCUGGAAGGCGGUGGAGGUGACGGCGGCGGCCGGCGCCGUGGCGGGGGGCUGCGAGUGGGGGGCGACGAGCUGCGCUUCCACAGGCUUUCUUGAACGGUUGCGGCCGC
Molecule: microRNA precursor, 121 nt
Filed under: Oryza sativa (Asian cultivated rice)
Lineage: Eukaryota; Viridiplantae; Streptophyta; Magnoliopsida; Poales; Poaceae
Description: miR396d stem-loop (osa-MIR396d)
Gene: osa-MIR396d
Source: miRBase by way of RNAcentral